RNAcentral lists this long non-coding RNA (1613 nucleotides) under Cyanistes caeruleus (blue tit). RNAcentral describes it as "lncRNA (ENSCCEG00000008596.1)". Lineage: Eukaryota; Metazoa; Chordata; Aves; Passeriformes; Paridae. The record is from RNAcentral.
UUUGCUAAUGCCCCUGAUUUAUUAUAGAGGCUGAGAGAAACAGCUUUGCACAGCAGGAUAAGCAUGCUUUUGACUUGGUUCCAGGUAUGACAAUAGCUGAGAGUCAUCAAAAGUGGGAAGAAAAUACCUGCCAACAGUUCUGUCUGACUUGGAUGGUCCUGAUUUUCUUCUUGCUCCGUCAAACCCUGCUCGCUCAGUCCUUUCUGAUGGAAUCGAGGACACAAUGUCCUUCCGAGAGCAGCUUUUGUUUCUAUCAGCAUUUAAAUGUGCUUUCUUUGUAGGAUAUGCAGAGCCUUGGAAAGAGAAAUGUCUCCUCUGCCUUCCUGAGCUUCUCCAAGAGGGAAUGCUGGGUCCUGAGCAUGGACAGCGUAUGGGAUGGAAAAGGGGCUGGACCUCCGAGUUUCACAGAGUGCCAGCAGACAGCAGCAAUAUUAACCAGAGACAAUAUUCAGAGACAAUAUUCAGAGACAAUAUUCAGAGACAAUAUUCAGAGACAAUAUUCAGGAAAGGUGUUUUUGAGGGAAAAGGUUUGCCAUUGGAAGUUUCUGAAGAAAUAUUGUCUCCUUCUCCCAACUGUGGCAAUUGGAAUGAGCAGAGCCAUCCUUUUGUUCCCUCCUCCCUGAAAAGGACAGGGGGAGGCCAGGACACCACCUUUAUCUGAAGGCUUAUAUUGAAUCUCUGAACAAGCAGUCCAUGAUUUUGAAGGAGAGGAUGAGAGCUUUUUCCCUUACUUGAGGAAUCUGCUCUUGAACUGAAGACCCCAGCUUUUAAAAGCCUGGAGUGGUGAUGUCUGUCUUUCAGAAAUCUAUGCAGGUGUGUAGCUCAUUACUUUUGUACCCAAAGGCAUUUCUCCAUGUGUUUCUUCACUAAGACUCAAAAAAUUCCACACUGGAAUGCAAUAAUAUUGCUUAAGGAAACUGGAGAUAGCUUGCCUUGAAAUCCUGUCCCCUCAUUGCUAGAAGUGCCUGGAGGUGUGUGCACUACCUGUCCUUAGAGUCAUAAUCUUUAUAACCAUAAACUAUAGGGAGUUAUAAGUGGCUAUAAACAACUUGGAUACACUAAAAACUGCGGAGGUGGAAAGGAUUUAAAGUUUCAGGAGGGUUUGGGCAGGAGGAGGAGUCCAUGCUUAGGGCCAUGUCCACACUGGUACACACAGAUGUGCUGGAGGGGAAGAGUGAGCUGGAGGAGAAUUCCCAGCUGGAGCCUCAGGGUGCUGCUGCUGCCCAGGCUGCUGUCCAGCCACAGCAGGCUCCAACUCUUUUGCUGCUCUUUGAAGGUUUCUGUCAGUUUUGGAGGGAAUUUUUCAAGGCAGUGCAGGUUGAGAGGGUGGCUGGUUUUCAUUGAUAAGGAGAAGAGUGGUGUGUUUGCUCACCAGCUGCUGGCAGCUCUGUCUCAGGGCAAAGAGGGAGGGGGACAAGACACGUGAGUUUGGGUGAUCAAUCCCUUUGCAGACUACCCUGCCUUGGCCAGCAGCUUCUGUACCUUUAUAGCAUGUGCACAGUGUGUGAAGGGGUGGGGAAUUGGGGAUUUUUUUUCCCUCCUCAGAAAAAUCCACCAGUCCCAAGCUCCUUUCCCCUCCAAAAAAAUGCUUGUGCUCCACUCACCUGCCCUGC